GCACUGGAACGGCUCCACGAGUCUGUCACCCAGGUUGGAGUGCGGUGGUGUGAUCUUGGCUCCCUGCAACCUCCACCUCCCAGGUUCAAGCGAUUCUCCUGCCUCAGCCUCCCAAGUAGCUGCGAUUACAGGCACCCACCACCAUGAAGAAUGGCAUUUUUAAAAGAUGGCUUUCUUAAAAAAGGAUACUCAGUUGCUCUUCUACUCAUACCAAGGUCAUGAAAAGUGCCAAGGAUAAAACUGGCCUUGAACCAGCUAUCUUUGGAGCAAGAAGACCAAAGAAGGAACCAUCUGAUUGCUUGGAUAAAGUGUUGUUAAAAAAGGAGAGAGACAAAACAGAACCAUCUGGUCAAGGACUUGCUGGCUUCUGAUGUCUGCCUGUUCUCUUGAGGCUAAGUCCUGCAGACACAUUCUGGGACUGCACCUUAUGAGUGCUGCUCACUCUGUUUCCUGCAGAAGACAUACAGAGCCGUUCGCAUAGAGUAGGGCCAUGAUUUUGAUUCAGCAAUUCUUCAAACCACUGAUGCUGGUUGACCAUUUGACUUUGUUUUUGAAGUAUUUUUUACAUACAGUGUACAGAACAUUUCCGCUGGAUAUUUGGAUACUGAACAGGAGUAACAAGAGGAACAGCUCCUACCUCCCCCCUGCCCCUUCCCUCACAAGCCUGUGAGUCAGGGCAGGGGCAGCCACUGAAAGUAGCAGAGGCCUUCAUAAAGGAGAACACUUCUCCAUGUUGCCAUCAUGUGAAGAAGGACAUGUUUGCUUCUGCUUCUGCCACGAGUGUUGAAGGCAAUGGUGAUGAAAGUAAAUAUUUAAAAACACUACCAUAGCUGUCCCAAAUUUCAGAAAAACAAGGUACCACUGGAACCAUUUAAUUUUGUUGGAACACAGAAUGACCAUCUUGUGAUCAGUUUUCUGCAUCUUUAAAAUACCUGGAAGGUCAUCUUUAAAUAGUACAAUCUGAUAAAAGUUUAAUACUUAGUGUAGACUUAUAUGAAUACUUCUACAUUCAUACAUUUUUGUAUACUUAUACAUUUUCAUACUCAAUUAAUGCUUAAUUCAAAAAAUAUCUGAGUACCUGCAGUGUUCCCCAUGCUACAUACUGGGCUUAAACAGCCAAAAAGACACAGUCUUUGACCUCAAAAUACUUUGAUUCUUGUAAGAAAAACUGACAAAGACAAAGAGAAGGCAAUGUGAAAACUUCUACAGUUGGGAUAACCUUGGAGGUUACAGGAUGUGGACUCACUGAAAGCUUUCUGCUGGACUUGAACUUGAAGCUGAAGUCUGAAGGACAGAUGGGUGUUGCUUAGCGAAGGGAAAGUAGGAAGCAAAGACCCCUGGACAGAGUGUAGCAGGCACAGAGGGAGCAUGACACCUUCGGGAGAGAGCCGCAAGCACCUGGGCCCAGAUCCCAGCUUUAGCUUCAUUAGCCCUGUGAACUCUGUAUGUCAGCCUUGACAUAGAAAAAAAGAGGAUACUAAACCUCCAUCUUAAAAGAGACUUGGAAGAAGCUGGGAUUAUAGGCACACCACCACACCUGGCCCCAGAAAAGGGAAUCCUUGACCUGCAAGAAUCGAGGAAUAUUGUUUCUGACAUGCUCAGUGGACCUACUGCUGGUGUUCUUAACCAUUUCCUUCCUAAGUGGAACUUCUUUUGAGCCUCAGAUGAAAACAACCAGUUGAGCUCCAAGUUUUCUUUCUGUGGGAGAACUUUCCUUAAAAGACAAUUAGAAAGCAAGGAAUGCGAAGAAAGAAAAUGGGAAGUUUCCUGCCUCCAAAUUAUGCUGUUGGUUCUGGCCUAAAGGAAUGUUUUCAAGGGAAGCCUGUCUGCCUUUCAUUGCCAUUUCACCUUGAUUUAAUCAUUCAGCAAAGCAUUUAUUAAUCAUCUUCUGUGUGAAAAGUACUUACCUUAGAACCACUGCAUCCUGGUACACCGACAAGUCCGUAAGGCCCGGUAUUGCCUGGGGUGCCCUGGAAGAAGAACAAGUCUCAAUGAGGAGGGUCAUCCCAAGAAACAGCACUGAACCCAAGGGAAAAGAUGCACUGAUUUAAAUAGCUCUUGAAAUAUAAAUGAUUGUUUAAAUGGUUAAGUAGUAAAUGUACAUUGUGGUUUUACAUAUAAUUUCAGUAGCAACAAACUAAACAGGCUGACUGAUAUGAAGACUUAUCAAAUGAGAUGUGGAUAUUUCAAAUAAAGCAAACGCCUUUUAUCCAU
Long non-coding RNA from Homo sapiens (human), 2214 nucleotides. Ensembl annotates it as MFF divergent transcript. Its record names the gene MFF-DT. The record is from Ensembl. NCBI's taxonomy places the organism in Eukaryota, Metazoa, Chordata, Mammalia, Primates, Hominidae.